GUAAUACUCCCUCCGUCUGAAAAUACUUGUCACAGAAAUGGAUAUAAUGAAGGUAUCUAUAACUAAAAUAAAUCUAGAUAUAUUCAUCUCUAGGACUAGUAUUUCAUGACGGAGGGAGUAUGUU
Non-coding RNA from Hordeum vulgare subsp. vulgare (domesticated barley), 124 nucleotides. NCBI's taxonomy places the organism in Eukaryota, Viridiplantae, Streptophyta, Magnoliopsida, Poales, Poaceae. The record is from Rfam.